RNA transcript from Solea senegalensis (Senegalese sole), 924 nucleotides. It is a transcript of the gene named MORN repeat containing 5, with no coding region annotated. The record is from RefSeq and is a predicted model, not a curated record. The transcript has 6 exons. Lineage: Eukaryota; Metazoa; Chordata; Actinopteri; Pleuronectiformes; Soleidae.
GUAUUUGAACAUUCGCUAUUAUUGCACCGUAAAAGCGUCGCAAUGUUCUCUUUACACUGUGCAGACUCACCAAGAGUUUAUCUCCCUUUUUGUUGGUGCGUUGCCACGGAAACGACGCAAAGCUCUGUGUGUGUUUCAAACCUGCAGUUUGUGUUUACGUUGAGGAGGACAGCAGCACAUUAAUGGAGAUCACUGGGAGCACUUACAAAGGAACCACAAAAAAUGGCAGGAUGGAGGGGAAAGGAGAAUACACUUUCCCCACAGAGACCAAGUAUGAAGGAGAGAUGAAAGAUGGAAUGUUCCAUGGCAAAGGAGUGCUUCACUUUCCUAAUGGAAGUAAAUAUGAGGCCACUUGGGAAAACGGCAUAGCUAAACAGGGGUCUUUUACCUUUGCUGACGGCCUGCAGUACCAGGAGGAGGACUGGGACUACUGCAAUGGUGUGGAUAGACGCUUCUUCAGCGAGAGGUGCAAUGGACUCAGACCUGCAGGAGACUCUCAACUAACUGAUCUGCAUCCUCCACACGUUAUUCCGGAUUCAUGUUACGACUGCGGGGAUGGAUUUUAUGAUCCCGCCACGAGAGUUGUCACAUCCCACAUGGGCAGAUUCCUCAGGAACGCAGAAUAUCAUUCUUGAGACGCCUGCUCCUGUAUCCUGUGCGGAUUUAUUUUUUAACCCCGGGAGGUGAGUGAGGACACGUUUGUCAGUAUGUGUGUGAACACCGACUUUAUUGCAUAAUGGCUUCCGCCUAAGACGAGAACUGCAAGGAAGAUGGGACACUGGGAAGACCCACCCUAGCAGUGGGGGGGAGGUUCUGCUGUACCAAGGAAAGAGGAAGGAGCUCUGCAUGUAAUCGUCACAACUGGUGGAUAUGACUCAGAACACGAGUGGAUUGUGUGCACUUGUCGAAAAAGCCCAGGAUGAG